Molecule: ribosomal RNA, 448 nt
Filed under: uncultured bacterium
Lineage: Bacteria
Description: bacterial SSU rRNA
Rfam family: Bacterial small subunit ribosomal RNA
Source: RNAcentral
UUGCCAGACUCCUACGGGAGGCAGCAGUGGGGGAUAUUGCACAAUGGGGGAAACCCUGAUGCAGCGACGCCGCGUGAGUGAAGAAGUAUUUCGGUCUGUAAAGCUCUAUCAGCAGGGAAGAAAAUGACAGUACCUGACCAAGAAGCCCCGGCUAACUACGUGCCAGCAGCCGCGGUAAUACGUAGGGGGCAAGCGUUAUCCGGAUUUACUGGGUGUAAAGGGAGCGUAGACGGUUAUGUAAGUCUGGAGUGAAAGCCCGGGGCUCAACCCCGGGACUGCAUUUGAAACUGUCAGGCUGGAGUGCAGGAGAGGUAAGUGGAAUUCCUAGUGUAGCGGUGAAAUGCGUAGAUAUCAGGAGGAACACCGGUGGCGAAGGCGGCCUGCUGGACUGCAACUGACGUUGAGGCCCGAAAGCGUGGGGAGCAAACAGGAUUAGAUACCCUAGUAC